This 403-nucleotide ribosomal RNA is filed under the name Verrucomicrobiota bacterium. RNAcentral's name for it is "Verrucomicrobia bacterium partial 16S ribosomal RNA". It matches the Rfam family "Bacterial small subunit ribosomal RNA", at positions 355 to 776 of the family's 1533-position model. Lineage: Bacteria; Pseudomonadati; Verrucomicrobiota. The record is from RNAcentral.
UGGGGAAUAUUGCACAUUGGGGGAAACCCUGAUGCAGCGACGCCGCGUGAGCGAAGAAGGCUUUCGAGUCGUAAAGCUCUGUCCUAUGAGAAGAUAAUGACGGUAUCAUAGGAGGAAGCCCUGGCUAAAUACGUGCCAGCAGCCGCGGUAAUACGUAUGGGGCGAGCGUUGUCCGGAAUUAUUGGGCGUAAAGGGUGCGUAGGUGGUCCUUCAAGUCGGUGGUUAAAGGCUACGGCUCAACCGUAGUAAGCCGCCGAAACUGGAGGACUUGAGUGCAGGAGAGGAAAGUGGAAUUCCCAGUGUAGCGGUGAAAUGCGUAGAUAUUGGGAGGAACACCAGUAGCGAAGGCGGCUUUCUGGACUGCAACUGACACUGAGGCACGAAAGCGUGGGUAGCAAACAGG